GACGAACGCUGGCGGCGUGCCUAACACAUGCAAGUCAAAGGAAAGCAGCUUCGGCUGGGAGUACUUGGCGCAAGGGUGAGUAACACGUGGGAACCUUCCUAGGGGUACGGAACAACUCAGGGAAACUUGAGCUAAUACCGUAUACGUCCGUGAGGAGAAAGAUUUAUCGCCCUUAGACGGGCCCGCGUCGGAUUAGCUAGUUGGUGGGGUAACGGCCUACCAAGGCGACGAUCCGUAGCUGAUCUUAGAGGAUGAUCAGCCACACUGGGACUGAGACACGGCCCAGACUCCUACGGGAGGCAG
This 303-nucleotide ribosomal RNA is filed under the name uncultured Pseudomonadota bacterium. RNAcentral describes it as "bacterial SSU rRNA". It matches the Rfam family "Bacterial small subunit ribosomal RNA", at positions 28 to 351 of the family's 1533-position model. The record is from RNAcentral. Lineage: Bacteria; Pseudomonadati; Pseudomonadota.